CUUCAUGUUGAUCUGUCUUUGGGAUCACUGAGCCAAUCUUCAGCUAUACUGUUCAGCUCAUCUGAUAUACAGGGAGUCCACGGAGCCUCCCCUGCAAGCAUCAGUACAGAAGUCGAUGAUAAUCUGGAUGCAAGCCCAGGAGUGUGGAGUCCACUGACUCAGAAGACCUGCAUCUAAGGAAUUGGCUGUUCUUAUCCUUAAGAAUGAUGACUGUGUUUCCAAUUCCAGUAGACCCUUUGAUGCGU
RNAcentral lists this long non-coding RNA (245 nucleotides) under Homo sapiens (human). Its description in RNAcentral is "HSALNT0325388". Lineage: Eukaryota; Metazoa; Chordata; Mammalia; Primates; Hominidae. The record is from RNAcentral.